This is a long non-coding RNA of Gadus morhua (Atlantic cod), 3099 nucleotides long. The record is from Ensembl. Lineage: Eukaryota; Metazoa; Chordata; Actinopteri; Gadiformes; Gadidae.
AUGAAAGACGAUAAUGUUACCGAUGAUUGUUUGAUUCUGCCUGUUGACAGAUCUGUGCUGAUGGGGUCGUUUCAUCAAGAUGAUUUACAGUUCGGAAAGGAUCGCAACAGGCAAUGUGGUGCCAUCAGUCUGACUGCAGUUCUGAAGUCCAAUCUGAGUGACGUGUGGACCUGGACGAGCAGAGAUCUCGAUGAUGUUUUGAUUAAGGGAACUGUACUUUACAGAUCAAUGAAUGCACAGCGUCUAAUAAGAGACCAAGAAAGAGGUUACAUUGCUGUGUCUGAAUUGCCUAGACACUACAAAGUGUGGAAUACAAAUUUUGCAAUUAACUAUGCAGAGUCUUUCACUGGAUUGAUUCAUGUUGAUGACUAUGAUCAAAGUUUACGUGAUGUUGCUAUGCCUUUUGAUGAGGCACUCCAGCGUUCACUAUAUGGUAAUGAUGGUUGUUUGUUAACCAUUUGUGCUAAUACAUGUGCAAUAGUCAAUGGAAGAGGCAAGUUUGCAUUUGUUGAUUCGCACAUAAACUCAAAUGUCAACAGGAAAGGUCGAAGGGCAAGCUGUGUUUCAUACUUCAACUGUUUACAGACCCUGAUCCGUCAUGUGUAUGACUUUGCAGAACGGUUUGGCGGAAGUACACCCCGAUUUGAGGCAACAGGUGUGAAAGCUGCAAUAAUCCAUGUCGACCCUGACAACGCCAACUACAGUCCAAUGGUAAACCGUCCACUCUACAGUGACAUAGUCAAAGGUAAUCCUAUGCAUAAAGUGUGUGAACAACUGCCAGGUGUAAGUGAUGCUGGUAACUUUGGUAUAGAUACAGGUUACUGUUCUGAUAAGGGUCAGUGUUUCAAAAGAGAAAUUGAAUCACAUGUCAACGAUGUCAUCGAUGUGGAUGCAAACAUGGCCGCACAACCGCCUGAAUGUUUGAAAAGAGUGCCCCUUUACCGUUCUGAUAAAGGUAAGCGACCUCAGCGUGUCAAACGUGUCAAAACCGAAAUUAAAUCACAUGUCAUCGAUGUGGAUGCAGACACGGCCAAAGAGUCUUUUCAAUCACAGUGUGGUUUAGCGGCUACAGAUGAUGUCAUCAUUCACGAGGAAACUGUCGCCAAACGGCCCUUUAAACCUUUAACUCGUGAGGAUCAGGAUGUCUUGUGCAAACAAAUUGGACUGUCGACUGUACAUUCUGAUGAAAGGCCAAACACAACAAGCAGUGUUGACGAUAUGGGAUGUCCUUGUAAGAUAAAAAGUAUAAAACCAGACGGAAACCGUUUUUAUCGUAGUCUUGCCUGGAGCAUAUGUCAUGAUGAGGACCAGCACUUGAAAAUGAGACGGGCAGUUGUGAAACACCUCCAGAAUAACAGCAACGUAUUUGAGUCAUACUUGAGAGAUGGAUACACGUCAGUGCCAGACUACAUAACAAAAUCAAGGGUGUACUACUGUGGUUCUUGGGCAACAGAGAUUGAUAUUUUUGCUGCUGCGGAUUUAUUGCAAACAGCUAUCAUUACUUUGAAUGAUGGAACAUGGAACAUGCAUGCACCUAUUGCAAGACCACAGUCAGAGAAUUGCAUUUAUUUGAAUCACACUGGUGGCAACCACUAUGAAGUCGUAACAUGUGUUCAACACAGAAAUGCAGCAAGUGUUUGCGCAGGAACAUGCCAGCCUACAAACACUGACAACAACUUGAGGUCAUUACGAAAAAGAAAGUCAGAAGCUGAACCAGAAAAUAUGAAAGCUAAAAAAGAACGUCAGCGCUACCACAAUGACAGUGAUUACAGAAAACGGAACGUUGACCAUAGCAAAGCCAGGUAUAAGACAAACGGCAGGUUUCAAACUCUUGUGCAGACUUACUCAAAAGCUAAAUAUAAGACCAACAGCAGGUUUCAAACUCUUGUGGGAGAUUACUCGAAAGCUAAAUAUAAGACCAACAGCAGGUUUCAAAUUCUUGUGCGAGAUUACUCCAAAGCUAAAUAUAAGACCAACAGCAGGUUUCAAACUCUUGUGCGAGAUUACUCCAAAGCUAAAUAUAAGACCAACAGCAGGUUUCAAACUCUUGUGCGCAAAUACUCUAAAGCUAAAUAUAAGACCAACAGCAGGUUUAAAACUCUUGUGCGCAAAUACUCGAAAGCUAAAUAUAAGACCAACAGCAGGUUUCAAACUCUUGUGCGCAAAUAUUCCAAAAUUAAAUAUAAGACCAACAGCAGGUUUCAAACUCUUGUGCGCAAAUAUUCCAAAAUUAAAUAUAAGUCAAAUAAGAAGUUCCAGACUGAAGUUCGUGGAUACAGUCAUAAGAAAUACAAGAGAAACACUUCAUUUCAGAACAAAUUGAAACAGAACAAUAAAAGCAAAUACAGAAAUGACAAAACCGUCCGUGCUAAUAAAAUCCAACGUAGCAGUGAGAAACGUGCCACUUUGAACAAUAAACAGACUGAGAUAGACUUUGUCAUUGGUCGUUUCCGUCAGGAAGUCACCCGUGGUCCUGAGUAUGUAUGCUCUGUUUGUCAUCGCUUACUCUUCAAGAAGCAGGUUUUGGAGUGUAAAAGAGAAUGCUAUGAACGCAAAGGAGCAGAGGUUGCUACGCUGGCUAACAGGUGCAUUACAUUGCAAUAUUUACACAUCUAUGAUAUGGAAUGCGAGCAGAGAUGCCAUUUGUCUGAUAGUUCAUCAAGCAAGUUAUGGAUUUGCCAUACAUGUCACCGGAAAAUACUUGGAGGAAAACUGCCCCAGAUAAGUGUUGCCAACAGCAUGCAUCUGUCUGAAAUUCCUGCUGAGCUGAACUGUCUCAACUCUUUGGAACAACAUCUCAUCCCUCGCCAUAUUCCUUUCAUGAAGCUGUUGUGUUUGCCUCGAGGGCGCCAGAGAGCUUGCCACGGUCCAUGUGUUUCUGUUCCUAUUAACAACACGGAUGUAACAAAUAUCCUUCCAAGAAACGAAUGUGAUGACAAGAUGAUACGUGUGAAACUCAAACGUAAGUUGACGUACAAAGGUCAUUAUGAGUACAUGUUUGUCCACACCGAUCGUGUAAGAAACGCACUGAGAUAUUUGCUGGCAAACAACAAGUGGUACGAUGAUGUGACACUCAACAAUGAAUGGGUAACAGUCUAA